Molecule: long non-coding RNA, 211 nt
Filed under: Manihot esculenta (cassava)
Lineage: Eukaryota; Viridiplantae; Streptophyta; Magnoliopsida; Malpighiales; Euphorbiaceae
Description: long non-coding RNA (MESC_LNC008763)
Source: RNAcentral
UCUCUCCUUAUGAUUAAAUUAAUUAGGGAACGUCUUCUAAUCAAUUACUAAUUAACAAAUUGCCAAGGAACGUCGUUGGGCCUUAGGCAUCAAAACAAUUGUCAAUUGCAUAAAGAAUGAGAGAGAUCUAACCCUAGCUACUCAAACGCAUGAGAUGUUGCUAGAUCAUGCAAUUCCCUAGUUUUUACACCAAGUAUUCUAUGGACAGAAU